GGGUCAGUAGGUUGGUCGUGCCACCGGUACGUACUGGUCUCGCUGAUUCCUCCUUCCUGAAGAACCGUAAUGCCAUUAAUUUGGUGUUGCGGGGAAGCAGGACUGUUACUUUGAAAAAAUUAGAGUGUUUAAAGCAAGCUAACGCUUGAAUACAUUAGCAUGGAAUAAUGAAAUAGGACGAUCGAUCCUAUUUUGUUGGUUUCUAGGAUUGACGUA
This 216-nucleotide ribosomal RNA is filed under the name Glomeromycotina sp. Its description in RNAcentral is "partial small subunit ribosomal RNA". The stretch from base 44 to 216 matches the Rfam family "Eukaryotic small subunit ribosomal RNA", at positions 690 to 864 of the family's 1831-position model. Lineage: Eukaryota; Fungi; Glomeromycota. The record is from RNAcentral.